Molecule: ribosomal RNA, 502 nt
Filed under: Ilyonectria destructans
Lineage: Eukaryota; Fungi; Ascomycota; Sordariomycetes; Hypocreales; Nectriaceae
Description: eukaryotic LSU rRNA
Rfam family: 5.8S ribosomal RNA (bases 136-289)
Source: RNAcentral
UUACCGAGUUUACAACUCCCAAACCCCUGUGAACAUACCAUAUUGUUGCCUCGGCGGUGCCCGUUUCGGCGGCCCGCCAGAGGACCCAAACCCUGUAUUAAAGUAUUCUUCUGAGUAAAUGAUUAAAUCAAUCAAAACUUUCAACAACGGAUCUCUUGGCUCUGGCAUCGAUGAAGAACGCAGCGAAAUGCGAUAAGUAAUGUGAAUUGCAGAAUUCAGUGAAUCAUCGAAUCUUUGAACGCACAUUGCGCCCGCCAGUAUUCUGGCGGGCAUGCCUGUCCGAGCGUCAUUUCAACCCUCAAGCCCCCGGGCUUGGUGUUGGAGAUCGGCGAGCCCUCCGGGGCAAGCCGUCUCCCAAAUUUAGUGGCGGUCUCGCUGUAGCUUCCUCUGCGUAGUAGCACACCUCGCACUGGGAAACAGCGUGGCCACGCCGUAAAACCCCCCACUUCUGAAAGGUUGACCUCGGAUCAGGUAGGAAUACCCGCUGAACUUAAGCAUAUCA